UACGAAAGGUGCAAGCGUUACUCGGAAUUACUGGGCGUAAAGCGCGCGUAGGCGGUCUUGUGUGUCGAUUGUGAAAGCCCUGGGCUCAACCUAGGAACCGCAGUUGAAACUGCAAGACUUGAAUACUGGAGAGGGUGGGGGAAUACCUAGUGGAGAAGUGAAAUUCGUAGAGAUUAGGUGGAACACCAGAGGCGAAGGCGCCUGCCUGGCCAAGUAUUGACGCUAAGGCGCGAAAGUGCGGGGAGCAAACAGG
This 253-nucleotide ribosomal RNA is filed under the name uncultured bacterium. RNAcentral's name for it is "partial 16S ribosomal RNA". It matches the Rfam family "Bacterial small subunit ribosomal RNA", at positions 524 to 776 of the family's 1533-position model. The record is from RNAcentral.